UGGGGAAUAUUGCACAAUGGGGGAAACCCUGAUGCAGCGACGCCGCGUGAGUGAUGAAGUAUUUCGGUAUGUAAAGCUCUAUCAGCAGGGAAGAUAAUGACGGUACCUGACUAAGAAGCUCCGGCUAAAUACGUGCCAGCAGCCGCGGUAAUACGUAUGGAGCAAGCGUUAUCCGGAUUUACUGGGUGUAAAGGGAGCGCAGACGGCAGGGCAAGUCUGAUGUGAAAGUCCGGGGCUCAACCCCGGGACUGCAUUGGAAACUGUCCGGCUAGAGUGCAGGAGAGGUAAGUGGAAUUCCUAGUGUAGCGGUGAAAUGCGUAGAUAUUAGGAGGAACACCAGUGGCGAAGGCGGCUUACUGGACUGUAACUGACGUUGAGGCUCGAAAGCGUGGGGAGCAAACA
Molecule: ribosomal RNA, 402 nt
Filed under: uncultured Eubacteriales bacterium
Lineage: Bacteria; Bacillati; Bacillota; Clostridia; Eubacteriales
Description: bacterial SSU rRNA
Rfam family: Bacterial small subunit ribosomal RNA
Source: RNAcentral